RNAcentral lists this ribosomal RNA (253 nucleotides) under uncultured bacterium. Its description in RNAcentral is "partial 16S ribosomal RNA". It matches the Rfam family "Bacterial small subunit ribosomal RNA", at positions 524 to 776 of the family's 1533-position model. The record is from RNAcentral.
UACGUAGGGUGCAAGCGUUGUCCGGAAUUAUUGGGCGUAAAGAGCUCGUAGGCGGUCUGUCGCGUCGGCUGUGAAAACCCGGAGCUCAACUCCGGGCCUGCAGUCGAUACGGGCAAACUGGAGUACUGCAGGGGAGACUGGAAUUCCUGGUGUAGCGGUGAAAUGCGCAGAUAUCGGGAAGAACACCCGUGGCGAAGGCGGCUCUCUGGGACGGUACUGACGCUGAGACGCGAAAGCGUGGGGAGCGAACAGG